GACGAACGCUGGCGGCGUGCUUAACACAUGCAAGUCGAACGGAAAGGCCCUGCUUGCAGGGUACUCGAGUGGCGAACGGGUGAGUAACACGUGUGUGAUCUGCCCUGCACUUCGGGAUAAGCCUUGGAAACUGGGUCUCAUACCGGAUAGGAGCCAUUUCUCGUGUGAUGGUUGGAACGUUUUUUCGGUAGAGUAUGAGCUCGCGGCCUAUCAGCUAGUUGGUGAGGUAAUGGCCUACCAAGGCGGCGACGGGUAGCCGGCCUGAGAGGGUGACCAGCCACACUGGGACUGAGACACGGCCCAGACUCCGACGGGAGGCAGCAGUGGGGAAUCGUGGGCAAUGGGUGAAAGCCUGACGCAGCCAGGCCGCGUGAAUGAUGAAGGUAUUAGGAUUGUAAAAUUCUUGCACCGGGGACGAUAAUGACGGUACACGGAGAAGAAGCCCCGGCUAACUUCGUG
RNAcentral lists this ribosomal RNA (459 nucleotides) under uncultured bacterium. Its description in RNAcentral is "partial 16S ribosomal RNA". It matches the Rfam family "Bacterial small subunit ribosomal RNA", at positions 28 to 507 of the family's 1533-position model. The record is from RNAcentral.